RNAcentral lists this transfer RNA (71 nucleotides) under Gemmatimonadaceae bacterium. RNAcentral's name for it is "tRNA-Ala". It matches the Rfam family "tRNA". Rfam says of the family: Transfer RNA (tRNA) molecules are approximately 80 nucleotides in length. Their secondary structure includes four short double-helical elements and three loops (D, anti-codon, and T loops). Lineage: Bacteria; Pseudomonadati; Gemmatimonadota; Gemmatimonadia; Gemmatimonadales; Gemmatimonadaceae. The record is from RNAcentral. RNAcentral also lists the same sequence under 1 other name.
GGGCUCGUCUUUCAACGGCAGGAUGCUGUCCUCGCACGGCGGCGAUGGGGGUUCGAGUCCCCUCGAGUCCA